Molecule: long non-coding RNA, 396 nt
Filed under: Pelobates cultripes (western spadefoot toad)
Lineage: Eukaryota; Metazoa; Chordata; Amphibia; Anura; Pelobatidae
Source: RNAcentral
CAGAAUACCCUCUCUUAGUUGAAAAUGUUAAGCCACCAGAUGGAAUCACAGUCUAUAGAGGUAAUUACACUUGUUAUGCCAUGUAUGACGGGAUUGGUAAAUUCAUGGGUAAUUUUUCUAAAGGUUAUUGAGCCACUUACAGAACUGUUCCUAUACGCCUGUUGCAACACCAUACCAGGUCAUUGGGAGAUAUUUACUGGUUAUGUGGGGAUCUACAGUUAAGAUCUAGGCUGGAAACUGAGUGGUGGGGUGAGUGUACCCUGGCCAAAGUUAUCAUGCCCAUUCAUAUUAUUUCUGAUAAUCAUCAUGACACAUACGACCCUCCACAUACAUCAGCCAGAGUAAGGAGCGAAACCCCAGUAAAAGGCAGUUUUGACCCCCACAUUUACAUAGAUG